This 45-nucleotide non-coding RNA is filed under the name Schistosoma mattheei. The record is from RNAcentral. Lineage: Eukaryota; Metazoa; Platyhelminthes; Trematoda; Strigeidida; Schistosomatidae.
AUCCAGCUGAAGAGUACUAAACAGGAUGAAAUGCUCCUCCUGGAU